This 445-nucleotide ribosomal RNA is filed under the name soybean epiphytic bacterium EP68. RNAcentral describes it as "bacterial SSU rRNA". It matches the Rfam family "Bacterial small subunit ribosomal RNA", at positions 889 to 1334 of the family's 1533-position model. The record is from RNAcentral.
CAAGGUUAAAACUCAAAUGAAUUGACGGGGGCCCGCACAAGCGGUGGAGCAUGUGGUUUAAUUCGAUGCAACGCGAAGAACCUUACCUACUCUUGACAUCCAGAGAACUUNCCAGAGAUGGAUUGGUGCCUUCGGGAACUCUGAGACAGGUGCUGCAUGGCUGUCGUCAGCUCGUGUUGUGAAAUGUUGGGUUAAGUCCCGCAACGAGCGCAACCCUUAUCCUUUGUUGCCAGCGGUUNGGCCGGGAACUCAAAGGAGACUGCCAGUGAUAAACUGGAGGAAGGUGGGGAUGACGUCAAGUCAUCAUGGCCCUUACGAGUAGGGCUACACACGUGCUACAAUGGCGCAUACAAAGAGAAGCGACCUCGCGAGAGCAAGCGGACCUCAUAAAGUGCGUCGUAGUCCGGAUUGGAGUCUGCAACUCGACUCCAUGAAGUNGGAAUCG